UCCCCGGUCCGGCCCGGCCCUGCCGAGCCCUGCCUUGCCCUCCGGUCCUUCUCGGUGCGGAGCAGCUGCUGCUCCCGGGGGCUUGGGGUCAGGAAAGUUUCCGUGUGGGCCCGCAGCCGCUGCCCUGAGGGUUCCUAGAGCCGCCGGCUCUCGGCAGAAGUUUUGUAAAAUACUCCAAGAAGAAGGACGGAGGGAGCUUCCAGGGAGGUACCUGACCCGCAGGAACCCACCUCAAGCUCAGCACUGCCCUUCCCGCACCAUCACCAGCACCAGCCGUGCCCCUGAGCCUCCCGCCUGCCCUGCCACAGCCUCCUAGAGAAAAGAAAGCCCGGGAAGAGGAGAUAAUGUCACUGUCAGUAUUAAUCAGACACAUUCAGUCUGUGAUAGAUGACACCUCUUCAAACCACCCAGCUACCUACCCACUACAUUCCUCUGCAUUUAUCUCAUGGAGAACUGAAGAAUUGCCACACCAAACCAAGAGGAAAAAUAAUUCCUGAUUUUGAAGUUAAUUAAAUGGCUGAGAGUCAGCAAAUCUCCAUGUGUCCCAACCCUGAGC
Molecule: long non-coding RNA, 556 nt
Organism: Calypte anna (Anna's hummingbird)
Lineage: Eukaryota; Metazoa; Chordata; Aves; Apodiformes; Trochilidae
Exons: 3
Source: RefSeq, a predicted model, not a curated record